This is a long non-coding RNA of Symphalangus syndactylus (siamang), 499 nucleotides long. RefSeq lists it as uncharacterized. The record is from RefSeq and is a predicted model, not a curated record. Lineage: Eukaryota; Metazoa; Chordata; Mammalia; Primates; Hylobatidae.
AGUACUUAGAACCCCUCAGAAUGGCCAGAUCCUGCUCAUGCUUGGGCUAGCAGAAUGGAACCUUUGUAAUUCUGGACUUGUAAAUGGAAACACAUCACUUACUGUGAACCACAUCCCAGACAGACAUGGGCAGGUGAAAAGAAAUUCUUCCAGGGAAAGACCAGAAACAACAGAAGAGUGAUGUCAGCGGGUCUACUCUUCCAGAUGUCCCCAUUAUAGGUUGGGUUCUCCAGGAAGAAGACAGAGAUGGAGCUAGAAGCACAUGAAAAGUCUCCUCAUCUGCGAAAGGGGUGAUGGUCCCUCCCUCCCAAAGGCACUGCAAGUUUCAAAGUCAGUGACGUGUGAGGUUCUGGCAGAAGGUCUCACAUUCGGAGCACUUUGGUAUGGCCUGACAGCACCUGUCUACAGUACAGUAUCGGGGCACACAGGACCUCGGAUAUAAAAGGGAAUAUUACAAAUACUGCAGAGACACAAGGAUUAAUUGUUUGUUCGUUUAAGG